GUUAGGGUUUUGGGUUUAGAUUAAUUAUUUUUUAAUUUAUAUUUUGAAUAUGUUCUUAUAUGAUUGUAAAAGAGAUAAUAAUAAAUUUGUUUAGGGUUUUUAGUUUAGGGUAUAUGAUUAAUUUAAGAUUUAAGGCCGGUUUAGGAGCUCAUAUUUUAAGGAUUAGGGAGUAUGGAUUUAGGGAUUAUGGAUUAGGGAUUAUGGUUUAAGGGUUGGGAUUUAAGGUUUAGUGGUUAAGGGUUUAGGGGUUAGACGUUAGGGGUUAAGAGUUAGGGAUUUAAGGUUUAAGGAUUCAGGGGCCGGGUUAAGGUUUUGAGUAGAUUAAUUAUUUUUUUAAUUUAUAUUUUAAAUAUGUUCUUAUAUAAUUGUAAAAUAGAUAAUAAUAAAUCAAAUAUAUUGAAAUUAUGAGCAUAGUUUAAAUUAUUUAAGAGAUAUAUAAUAGAUAGACUUUAUAUGUAUUGAAUGGUUAAUUUAGGGUUUAAGGUUAAGGUUUACUUGAGAUUUGUUAAUAGAUAUAUAAUGAUAUGGAUAUAUAGGUACUUAUUUAAUUUGGAUAAUUCUAACUUAAUAAUUAAUUACAACCAUUUUAUCAUUUGUUUUCUUAUUAAAAUACAUAAUUUUUAUUUUGAGAGUACUUGUUUUUUUUUUAUUUUAUAAAAAACCAAUUUAUAAAAAACAAAAUAAAAAAGGUUAUGAGCAAUUUGACAUAGUUCUUACGGCUUUCCUGCAAAGAAUAUCGGAUACUAACAAGCUGGUACAAGGGGCUGCUUGUUCUGCUCUUGCAAUACUUGAGGAGGUUGUAAACUUGUUGUAUGACCAGUUACUUUUGGGAUUUAAAUUCUUACAAGUUUCAACCUUUGCCUUAUACAUUUACAGGAGGCUGCCGAAAAGUUGGCACCAAUCAAACUAGGUUCGUUUACUUAUACUACCAAAUCUUGAAGCGUAUUUGCAACUUCUUGAACCUGAAAUAAAAAGACACGAGGCCUGGUGUGUUUAUAGGGCCCUGCUGCGUGCAGCUGGACUGUGCAUGUAUGGUCGGCUUAAAAUGUUCCCCAGUUUGCUAGCACCCCCAACUCGUCCCGUAUGCAAAAGCAACAACAAAGUUACGACAAAUAAACGAAAAGCAAGCACGAACGCCUUGAUGCAGCAGCAACCACCUGCCAAGAAAAUAGCAACUGAGAGUUCAAUAGGUACACUUAAAAUAUUAAUUCUAAGUGAUAGAAAAUGCUUGUUAAGCAUUGGACAAUGGGGACAAGAGUUGGAACCUUAACAUGACCAUUUUUCGGCAGAUAAAGCAUGUUUACAUUUGUGAAGCAACAUUGUCAAAGCGGUUGAUUGAAUUUGAGAAUACUAACGCUGGAGCCUUAACGAUGGAGGAGUUUACGGAAAAGGAGAGGGAGCUUCGAACUAGUUCACUAACUAGAAAACAACCAAAUAUUGGGUCAAAAGAAACCAGCUUAGAUGAAGUGCUAUGUAGGCACAAGGAGAGAAAACCUUUUGCCUAUGGACUUUGUAAUGAAUGUUAUGAAGAGGUGAGCACCCAUGUACCUACUAGGCUUUCCAAUCGAUAGAGGAUCAGAUCCACCUGCAUUCCAGCUUGCUGAGAAAGAGAGACUGGCAAAAUUAUCUAUUGCGGAAAAUGCUAAAGUAUGUUCUGUAAUCAUACUUUCUAAAGGUUUAAGGACAGUAAUAGGUUAAAAAUCCUAAUUGUAAUCACUUGAUAUAUUUUACUUUGCGAGAGUCAUGUGGGCACUCAAGUUAUUCUCUCACAAUAUACUUCUCUCCCUUCCUAAUGUGCUAA
RNA transcript from Gossypium raimondii (Peruvian cotton), 1801 nucleotides. RefSeq lists it as uncharacterized. The transcript is spliced from 7 exons. The record is from RefSeq and is a predicted model, not a curated record. Lineage: Eukaryota; Viridiplantae; Streptophyta; Magnoliopsida; Malvales; Malvaceae.